GAUUAGCCAAAAUUAGCAGCAGUAUCUGUUCUUCAAUUUAGGUCUAGAUAAUGGUUGUACAAAGUUUCAUUAGAAAUGGAAAUUAUUUAAUGUUCUGGGUACUGAUGAUCUCAUAAUGCACUGAUACUUAACUCUGAAAGGACCAGUCGCAGGCUAAUUGUGAUGGUAGCAAAGACAAUUCCAUAGAUUAUUGUACUGUCCUCACAUUGGGAGUCAUUUAAUUGGAAUACUGUAUUUCAGUGCCAAGAAUUAUAUUGCAGAGUUAAAAAGGCAGGUUUGCUGUAUGCCAGGGUCUUAUCAGUCCUCAACCAAAAUUAUCUACUGUGCUGUCAUGGAAAAUGUUCUUAAAACUCAGGAAAUCUAGGUUCCAAUUUUCUGUUUUUCCUCCUUCCUCCAUGCCAGGAAUUUCACCAGUGAAUGAGCUCAGUGUUAGUUCAGACAUUCCCCUGCAUAUAUAACCUGUAUGAUGCUGAGGGCAGGUUCAUGUGAUCCAAGAAGGAGGUCACUGAAUAACUACCUACUGUUAGGUGGUCCUUGGUUACAUUCUGAGUUACAUUGACAUUUCACCUUGGAAGGUAAUAGAGAAUGUAAAUGAAGCCUAGCUAAGUCUGAUGAACAAGGAACAUUAAGUCUGUAGCUCAGAGGGGGAUAAUGCCUUCUAUUCAAGUGUUGUGCAAUGAGGAUCAGCUGGCCUGUGGAGACUCUUGCACAAGGCCUGGGAGGAAGAGGCGCUCAAGAGAAAAUGGACUGAUGACAUUUGUUUCACAUUCCCUAGGAUUUAGCUGCAGUGGCUCAUGAUGAUAGCACAGGCAGACAAGCAAUGUGUGUCAUGUUUGAGCCUGUUUUCUAGUUUCCUCCAUCAAGUCAAGAAAUAAACAAGCUCUGUGAAGCAGCAAUCUAGAGAUGAACAAAUCCUGUGCCUCCUCACUUAGCUCUCCUAUCACUACCUCUCUUAAGGGAUAAUGAUGUCCAUUUUUCUGGGCAUAUAUUAGAGCCUGUAUAAAGCUACCCCAGGUUAUCAAACCUUUUUCUUUCACUUCUCUUGUCACCAACAUUGUCAGUUGUCACUGAUCUUUCCUCCACUGCCUACCAGUGUUUCCCUAUAGUUGAGGGACUUCUGAAGAAACAAGUGUUAAACAUAAAUGAUGUAAACAGUAACCCUGUUUCCAGUGUGCAAGGGGUUCUUUAAAUUUUUUAAUAGGAAGUUGGUUUCCACUCCUGUUCAAUAAUUUUUCUUAAAAAGGGUUUUAUGUUUGGAGCUAUCUUCUUUCAGCUGGUUAGCUGGUAUUGUCUUCAAACAAUGCUUUGGAAAAAUGUACUUGUUUUGAAAGUUAUCUGCCAUUCUGGACUGAGUAUUGACAGGAAAGAGUUUCAAGGGGGGAAGAAAAGUGAGGUAGCAGGUCAGUUCUGUUGAAUCCUGGUUUAGUUGGUGCAGUUAACUCUACUGAGAGACUUACAUGUCUGAAUGUUGAGGGAAUCUGGUAAUUCUUAAUGAUUAAAAUCUUAUAGACUUGCUUUUCCGGUAAUUGGGGACAUUGGGACACAUUAAAUCCCAUUCAGUAUAUUGGGUCCUUUUAAUGGUGUUCUGCCAUAAAUCACAUUUAUUCUUUGCAAAACAGUAUUUAUGGUGUAUAGUAAAAAUUUCACAAGGUCAUCGAUUGUCUGAUUUCUUAAGGAACAAACUUUGUUCCAUUUUCAAAAAGAAAAAUGGAAAAGAUUUCUUAACCCAUUUGAAAUUAACUUAAAUGAUAAGCAGCAUCUGUGGAGGCUUAAAUUACUUAGCCUUAUGUUUCAUAGAUGUCACCAGCUAGAACUCUGCUUGACAAUAUUUUAAGCAUGACAGUUAACAGCCUGGUUAAAACACAUAUAUUUUGUAAUUUAUAUUAGGUUUGAAAUGUACUUCAGCUUUUAGUUCACCAAACAAGUCUAAAUUUUGUGUGGACCAAUGUGUGCAUUUAAUGUCAUAUAGGGAGUUUCUCCAUCCCUUUCUUGUGGCAUUAAGGAAACAUAAUCAAUAUCUCCAGUCUAAAAGCAAAUAAAUAUUUUGAAAUACAAUUUCAAAGCAAAAGCAUUGCAUAAACUUGAUUUUUUCACAGGCUAUUUUACUAGAAUUAACUCUGUGUGUGUGUGUAUAUAUAUAUAUAAAUUAUUGAAAGAUAUGAUUGACUUCUUAAUCUUACUAAUAUAAUUUAUAAUUUGACUUCUUCCCUAAUUUAUUUAAUAACUCCUAGUUAAUGUGAAAACAGUAAAAUCCAUGCAUGCUGUAUCAUUGCAUGAGGAUCUGACUCCUUGUUUAUUAUUUCAUAGCUCCUAAGCUCAUGCAGUAGGGUGGGAGUGAAGCCUGCUCUCCAAGAAGUUAAGAUAACAAGCAUAAAUCCAUAAGCUGUGGAGGAACUUUGAAGAGCCCAGAAGCAGAACAGAGUUCCUUGCAUGAGUUCAGCAGGUAUUUGCAGAGUUAAUCCCAUGAAACAAAGUUGGGAGACUGGAUUACAAUUUGUCAACAUCAGUUGCCAGAUCUGUAGAGAGAAAAGGGGGAGAAAAAGGUCUUGGCUACCUUCACAUGAGCAUCUGCCUCUACACUGACCCCAGUCCUUCUUCCCAUGUUUAAGUGAUCAGAUGUUUUUGUCCUUCCCCAGCAGCUGUCCAGCACUGCAGGUCCUGCUGACUGAGCCAUGUCUUGGUGACUGAUGAAGAAAGUCACUCUUUCUGGUUAACAGCUGAAAAAUUAAAAGCUGCAUUAUGGAAAUUAAAAAACAGGUAUAAAUAACACAGAUCUCAGAUUUCCAUGCUUUCCUUAUUAUUUUGCAAGCAGCAUAUGUUCUCAGCAUUGAAGCACUUGUACAGUUUCAUCUCUGCAGAUUUUCAGUUUUGUGACCCAGGUGGGUCCAACUAUGGCAACAAGAGCUGAUUUUAUAAUUUGGGCACUGUAACAAAAUGCAGAGAAACUCCCUGUACUUUAUGAAGAACUGAAUUUUAUGAAGAACAGUUCCUGUUUUUUAAGACAAAGCUUCUUUCUCUGUAGAUUGUAAUGAAUUCAAAGUGUUGUAAACAAGAUACUGUUCUGACCCUGAGAAGAGACACUGUGCUACUGUAACAACCUACUCAGAUAAUUAAAGAAAUGUGUAAUGUGAUUUUGUAGAGGUUUCUUCUCAGUUACAGCUAAGAAGAAAAUGUCAACAAACAAAAAAAAUCUGAAAUGUAAUUUUUCCAGAGUUUGGGAAACUUCAUUUGUUCAAAACACUUAGCAUGAUCAGUGAAUCUAUUCUGAUUGAGACAGGAUAACCAGGGACAAUAUUGCUUGUCACAUCCAAUUUUUUCCACAUUCUUCUCUGUACUUUAAACUGCUUUUCUUCCCAGUGGAAAUGUUUGGUUUUGUGAAUGUCUACAAAAUAGUGCUUGCUAGUAUUUCAGGCUAAAGUAUUUUCUGAUUUUAUUGUCUUGAUAUUCAUGAUCUGCACACUUGAUGGAAAAUUAUAAAUGCACUCACCUGUUUGUGAAAGAUCCAAUAGCACAGGCAGCACAGGCAAAACAGUAAAACAUUCUACCUUAGAUGUGGCAAUUAUGGAUGGUAGUGAUGUUUCAAAACAUGAAGCAAGACAGACUUCUUGUGUCGUCUUCCAAGACAGAAAACAAGGUUUAAUGACAGAUAGAGCAUAUUUUUACAAGGAAGGUCACUUACAAAGCUCAGUUUCAAGGUGACGAAUAAAAAACUGGGUAUUUUGGACACAGACAAAUGCGUGCAUAACAUU
This is a long non-coding RNA of Vidua chalybeata, 3749 nucleotides long. RefSeq lists it as uncharacterized. Lineage: Eukaryota; Metazoa; Chordata; Aves; Passeriformes; Viduidae. The record is from RefSeq and is a predicted model, not a curated record. The transcript has 3 exons.